This 229-nucleotide long non-coding RNA is filed under the name Elaeis guineensis (African oil palm). RNAcentral's name for it is "long non-coding RNA (EGUI_LNC001049)". Lineage: Eukaryota; Viridiplantae; Streptophyta; Magnoliopsida; Arecales; Arecaceae. The record is from RNAcentral.
GGUGGAGCACUGCGUGGCAAACGCAGAGAUAUUAGACCAAUCCUGGCUUUGCCUUAGCGGUCAAAAUCUUCGCUCCUGCUAAAUAAGUUUUGAGUUCAAUUCCUCUGCGCUUUUGAUGUAUUAGAGUUUUCUAGCUGCAAAAGAAUGAUCGACCAUGUCCUUUAGGAUAAUAUAUUGCAACUUACGGAGGCUGAGGCAACAGAGGGAUGGGGACUUUGUUGGCUGGAAC